UUAGGAAUAUUCGUCAAUGGGGGAAACCCUGAACGAGCAAUGCCGCGUGAGUGAUGAAGGCCCUUCGGGUUGUAAAACUCUGUUGUUUGGAAAGAAAUGUAAGAUUAGGAAAUGAAUCUUGCUUGACGGUACCAUUCAAGAAAGCCACGGCUAACUACGUGCCAGCAGCCGCGGUAAUACGUAGGUGGCGAGCGUUAUCCGGAUUUAUUGGGCGUAAAGCGUGCGCAGGCGGUUUGUUAAGUCUAAAAUCAAAUCCCGAAGCUUAACUUCGGUUCGUUUUAGAAACUGGCAGACUCGAGUGUGGUAGAGGCAAACGGAAUUUCUAGUGUAGCGGUAAAAUGCGUAGAUAUUAGAAGGAACACCAGUGGCGAAGGCGGUUUGCUAGGCCAUUACUGACGCUCAUGCACGAAAGCGUGGGGAGCAAAUAGG
RNAcentral lists this ribosomal RNA (429 nucleotides) under uncultured bacterium. Its description in RNAcentral is "bacterial SSU rRNA". It matches the Rfam family "Bacterial small subunit ribosomal RNA", at positions 355 to 776 of the family's 1533-position model. The record is from RNAcentral.